Molecule: long non-coding RNA, 219 nt
Organism: Nanorana parkeri
Lineage: Eukaryota; Metazoa; Chordata; Amphibia; Anura; Dicroglossidae
Exons: 3
Source: RefSeq, a predicted model, not a curated record
UCUAAUAAGAUGUCUUAUGUGCACAAUUUUGUAACCGUACAACAAGGUAUAAAACAACUACACUUUCUAAACAUUGGACAACAAAAAUUAUUUUGCUUGUUACAUAAAAAACAUUUAUAUUCAACUUCUGAAGGACACAAUACAGUAAAUAUUUAUUUCCUUCUGAUUUGCACUUAUAGUAUUGGCUGUUGAUAAGUAUGCAUGAGUAUGUAUCCCCUG